CGUGUAGGCGGCUAGGUAGGUCCGUUGUGAAAACUCGAGGCUCAACCUCGAGACGUCGAUGGAAACCCUCUAGCUAGAGUCCGGAAGAGGAGAGUGGAAUUCCUGGUGUAGCGGUGAAAUGCGCAGAUAUCAGGAAGAACACCCGUGGCGAAGGCGGCUCUCUGGGACGUGACUGACGCUGAGACGCGAGAGCGGUGGGGAGCGAACA
Molecule: ribosomal RNA, 208 nt
Filed under: uncultured bacterium
Lineage: Bacteria
Description: partial 16S ribosomal RNA
Rfam family: Bacterial small subunit ribosomal RNA
Source: RNAcentral